GCCCCUUUAGUUUAGUGGUAAAACAAUGGUAUCGUAAACCAUGAACGCCAGUUCAAUUCUGGCAGGGGGCU
Molecule: transfer RNA, 71 nt
Filed under: Parcubacteria group bacterium
Lineage: Bacteria
Description: tRNA-Thr
Rfam family: tRNA
About the family: Transfer RNA (tRNA) molecules are approximately 80 nucleotides in length. Their secondary structure includes four short double-helical elements and three loops (D, anti-codon, and T loops). Further hydrogen bonds mediate the characteristic L-shaped molecular structure. tRNAs have two regions of fundamental functional importance: the anti-codon, which is responsible for specific mRNA codon recognition, and the 3' end, to which the tRNAs corresponding amino acid is attached (by aminoacyl-tRNA synthetases). tRNAs cope with the degeneracy of the genetic code in two manners: having more than one tRNA (with a specific anti-codon) for a particular amino acid; and 'wobble' base-pairing, i.e. permitting non-standard base-pairing at the 3rd anti-codon position.
Source: RNAcentral